AUUGAACGCUGGCGGCAUGCUUUACACAUGCAAGUCGAACGGUAACAGGUCUUCGGAUGCUGACGAGUGGCGAACGGGUGAGUAACACAUCGGAACGUGCCUAGUAGUGGGGGAUAACUACUCGAAAGAGUAGCUAAUACCGCAUGAGAUCUAAGGAUGAAAGCAGGGGACCUUCGGGCCUUGCGCUACUAGAGCGGCUGAUGGCAGAUUAGGUAGUUGGUGGGAUAAAAGCUUACCAAGCCGACGAUCUGUAGCUGGUCUGAGAGGACGACCAGCCACACUGGGACUGAGACACGGCCCAGACUCCUACGGGAGGCAGCAGUGGGGAAUUUUGGACAAUGGGCGAAAGCCUGAUCCAGCAAUGCCGCGUGUAGGAUGAAGGCCCUCGGGUUGUAAACUACUUUUGUACGGAACGAAAAGACUCUUUCUAAUAAAGAGGGUCCAUGACGGUACCGUAAGAAUAAGCACCGGCUAACUACGUGCCAGCAGCCGCGGUAAUACGUAGGGUGCAAGCGUUAAUCGGAAUUACUGGGCGUAAAGCGUGCGCAGG
This 550-nucleotide ribosomal RNA is filed under the name uncultured bacterium. RNAcentral's name for it is "bacterial SSU rRNA". It matches the Rfam family "Bacterial small subunit ribosomal RNA", at positions 28 to 575 of the family's 1533-position model. The record is from RNAcentral.